CAGCCGCCGCGGUAAUACCGGCGGCCCGAGUGGCGGUCACUAUUAUUGGGCUUAAAGCGUCCGUAGCCGGGUUGGUUAGUCUCCCGGGAAAUCUGGCCGCUUAACGGUCAGAAUUCCGGGAGAUACUGCCAGCCUAGGGACCGGGAGAGGCCGAGGGGAUUCCCGGAGUAGGGGUGAAAUCCUAUAAUCCCGGGAGGACCACCUGUGGCGAAGGCGCUCGGCUGGAACGGGUCCGACGGUGAGGGACGAAGGCCAGGGGAGCAAACCGGAUUAGAUACCCGGGUAGUCCUGGCUGUAAACGAUGCGGACUUUGUGUCGGACAAGCUAUGAGCUUGUCCGGUGCCGGAGGGAAACCGUUAAGUCCGCCGCCUGGGGAGUACGGCCGCAAGGCUGAAACUUAAAGGAAUUGGCGGG
This 414-nucleotide ribosomal RNA is filed under the name uncultured microorganism. RNAcentral describes it as "bacterial SSU rRNA". It matches the Rfam family "Archaeal small subunit ribosomal RNA", at positions 459 to 872 of the family's 1478-position model. The record is from RNAcentral.